This 491-nucleotide ribosomal RNA is filed under the name uncultured bacterium. RNAcentral's name for it is "partial 16S ribosomal RNA". It matches the Rfam family "Bacterial small subunit ribosomal RNA", at positions 29 to 506 of the family's 1533-position model. The record is from RNAcentral.
AGUGAACGCUGGCGGUAGGCCUAACACAUGCAAGUCGAACGGCAGCACAGUAAGAGCUUGCUCUUACGGGUGGCGAGUGGCGGACGGGUGAGGAAUACAUCGGAAUCUACUUUUUCGUGGGGGAUAACGUAGGGAAACUUACGCUAAUACCGCAUACGACCUACGGGUGAAAGCAGGGGAUCUUCGGACCUUGCGCGAUUGAAUGAGCCGAUGUCGGAUUAGCUAGUUGGCGGGGUAAAGGCCCACCAAGGCGACGAUCCGUAGCUGGUCUGAGAGGAUGAGCAGCCACACUGGAACUGAGACACGGUCCAGACUCCUACGGGAGGCAGCAGUGGGGAAUAUUGGACAAUGGGCGCAAGCCUGAUCCAGCCAUACCGCGGGGGUGAAGAAGGCCUUCGGGUUGUAAAGCCCUUUUGUUGGGAAAGAAAAGCAGCAGGUUAAUACCCCGCUGUUCUGACGGUACCCAAAGAAUAAGCACCGGCUAACUUCGU